This is a long non-coding RNA of Glycine soja, 193 nucleotides long. RefSeq lists it as uncharacterized. NCBI's taxonomy places the organism in Eukaryota, Viridiplantae, Streptophyta, Magnoliopsida, Fabales, Fabaceae. The record is from RefSeq and is a predicted model, not a curated record. The transcript has 3 exons.
GUACAUUUCACCUGAGGUACAAUCUCGCCGGCAUUGUCGUUGUUGUGUUCGAGGUGAAGCUGAAUUACUUUGUUGUAGUUGAAGUUGGUUUGUCCAUUGGUGUUCUUGUGGAAGCUGUUUCAUUAUAUCAAGUCCAGCCAAAUACAACUAGCAGGUACGUGUUAAAGUCCUUGAAGCUUCAAGCUGACAGAGA